This 1240-nucleotide long non-coding RNA is filed under the name Phasianus colchicus (ring-necked pheasant). Its description in RNAcentral is "lncRNA (ENSPCLG00000008100.1)". Lineage: Eukaryota; Metazoa; Chordata; Aves; Galliformes; Phasianidae. The record is from RNAcentral.
AUGAAGAAGAGGCCUAUAGUUGCAGAGAAGGCUGACUUAAGAAGCAGGAGGAAAAAUUAUGGCUUGGUAAGAAAGAGGAAGUUUCGCGCGGAUCGGUUUUGCAUAAGUGCUAUAAACGCGGUUCGGUGGAGCUCGGACAGCGGCAGCACAGCGACCGCGGGGUCCUCCGUCACCGAGAGCAUCGGGUUUACUAGGGGACGUACGCGCAUGGAAGCACGCUAUCCCGAAAGUAUUUUAUUAAGCACAGAUCGACUCACCGCUAGAGCAGGAAAAUCGGCUGUUAUAGGAAAAGAAAGGACCAAAUCCUCGUUUUCUCACUUUAAUUUCUGCUAUCCGCGCGGCAGGGAGGCAUGGCGGCUGCGCACCUCCCGGCCGGUCCCGGCGCGGCCGCGGCCCCUCGCAGCCCAGCGCCGCCCGCGCCCGCGGGAGAGGCGCCGCCCGGCUCGGCACCGCGCGUCCCUUCCGCCCGCCGCCCGGUACCGCGGUGGAACAGCGCUGCCGCUCCUUCGCUGCCUCCCGCGCGGGAAAGCUGAAGAGAAGCGGUUUUCAUUGAGUAAGCUGUCUGCAGAAGCUGUGUCUAUACAGAGGCUCUGUAUUUUAUUCACUGGAGAGAACCAGCAGAAGACCUCAGGCCAUUUUCUAGCUGAUUUAAUUAAAAGAAGCUUCAAAGUUCUAAUGACCAUAGCAAGGAUAGAAAUCUCAGAAGAUUCAUUGCAUAGAAUGGCACAGAACUGGAGAGCAGUGCCUUGAUGCUGUACUCAUGUGGUGUGGCACUUGCCAUGGAAGUACAAGGUCCAAAUGUUGAAGAUCUGAAGCAAGUUGGUGUGAAGACAGCUCUUACAGUUGAAAUGCACCCCCUCCCCCCUUCCACAGCACAGCUGUCAUAUGGAAAUAUUAUUCCUCAAGGCUGUUUAUUAUUCCUUAGUAAAAUUGAAACGCCAGUACAUUCCAGAGACUUUCUUGCAUAGUCAUCCUGAUUUAUCAUUAGUCUUGUCAAACUUUUUUGUCUAUGGUUGAAAACAAUCUAGGCCUUGGUCAUUGAUUCUUUUUCUGUGAUGUUGGUUGACAUCAGAAGUUUGUUAGACGAAACAAUGCUAUAAACAAACUUGAACUAUUUUUAGAUGUGAAAAUAGCAUUAGUUAGAGAUCAGAGUUGGUGCCAAUGAACCCAAUUUAUUUUAAUGCAUGCUGGAAAUAGAUACAGAAGAUGGAAAUAAAGACUUAGGGAGAGUAUUUUGACA